This is a non-coding RNA of Lepisosteus oculatus (spotted gar), 139 nucleotides long. The record is from RefSeq and is a predicted model, not a curated record. NCBI's taxonomy places the organism in Eukaryota, Metazoa, Chordata, Actinopteri, Semionotiformes, Lepisosteidae.
GCUCAGCGACUCAUCCUCCCAGUGCCGCACCGAGCACCUUCAACCCUGCAGCUGGAACGUUUUUUCAAAAACGGAAUUUCGAAAGCAUACUGACGUGGGAGAAAUGUCUGUCCAGACUGCAGUCAGUGUGCUACUUGCU